This 208-nucleotide microRNA precursor is filed under the name Oryza glumipatula. RNAcentral's name for it is "MIR812 microRNA precursor family". It matches the Rfam family "MIR812 microRNA precursor family". The record is from Rfam by way of RNAcentral. Lineage: Eukaryota; Viridiplantae; Streptophyta; Magnoliopsida; Poales; Poaceae.
AAUAAGUGCAGCCGUGGAUAUCCGUGCCCAACGUUUGACCGUCCGUCUUAUUUGAAAAAUUUGUGAAAAAUUUGAAAAUAUUUAGUCACAUAUAAAGUACUAUUCAUGUUUUAUCAUCUAAUAGCAAUAAAAAUACUAAUCAUAAAAAAUUUUCAAAUAAGACGAAUGGUCAAACGUUAAACGUGAAUAGUGCAAAACUGCAUUUAUU